RNAcentral lists this ribosomal RNA (453 nucleotides) under uncultured bacterium. RNAcentral's name for it is "bacterial SSU rRNA". It matches the Rfam family "Bacterial small subunit ribosomal RNA", at positions 355 to 804 of the family's 1533-position model. The record is from RNAcentral.
UAGGGAAUAUUGGGCAAUGGAGGGAACUCUGACCCAGCCAUGCCGCGUGCAGGAUGAAGGCGUUAUGCGUUGUAAACUGCUUUUAUAUAGGAAGAAAUAGUCCUUGCGAGGAAAGUUGACGGUACUAUAUGAAUAAGCACCGGCUAACUCCGUGCCAGCAGCCGCGGUAAGACGUAGGAUGCAAGCGUUGUCCGGAUUUAUUGGGCGUAAAGAGUUCGUAGGCGGUUAUUUAAGUCUGAUGUUAAAUACUGUGGCCCAACCACAGAACUGCAUUGGAUACUGGAUGACUUGAGUGCGGUAGAGGCAAGUGGAAUUCCCAGUGUAGCGGUGAAAUGCGUAGAUAUUGGGAAGAACACCAGUGGCGUAAGCGACUUGCUGGCCCGUAACUGACGCUGAGGAACGAAAGCCAGGGGAGCGAAUGGGAUUAGAUACCCACGUAGUCCCUGAGCGGGC